GCACAAGCAGCGGAGCGUGUGGUUUAAUUCGAUGCUACACGGAGAACCUUACCAGGGUUUGACAUACAAGUAGUAGGGAAAGGAAACUGGACCGACCCUUCGGGGAGCUUGAACAGGUGCUGCAUGGCUGUCGUCAGCUCGUGUCGUGAGAUGUUCGGUUAAGUCCGCUAACGAGCGCAACCCUCGCUGUGUGUUACAAGUGUCACACGGAACUGCCGGUCAUAAACCGGAGGAAGGUGGGGAUGACGUCAAGUCAGCAUGGCCUUUAUAUCCUGGGCUACACACACGCUACAAUGGGAAGGGACAAUAGGUUGCGAAACCGCGAGGUGGAGCCAAUCCAGCAAAACUUCCCUCAGUUCAGAUUGCAGGCUGCAACUCGCCUGCAUGAAGUUGGAGUUGCUAGUAAACGCAGGUCAGCCAUACUGCGUUGAAUACGUUCCCGGGGCUU
Molecule: ribosomal RNA, 448 nt
Filed under: uncultured Anaerolineaceae bacterium
Lineage: Bacteria; Bacillati; Chloroflexota; Anaerolineae; Anaerolineales; Anaerolineaceae
Description: bacterial SSU rRNA
Rfam family: Bacterial small subunit ribosomal RNA
Source: RNAcentral